CUGCUCUAUCUGAGUUGGUUGCAGGUAAGAGAUCCCAAAGUCUCUCUGAGAAUUUUUUUGCAAACGAUUUGAAGGUCAUUAAUGGGGAGUAAAGAAGAUACAGCUUCGGAAGAUAAAUCUUGUCAGAACUGACUCUUGAGAAAACUAUUUCAACUAUCAGAGGCUUGGAAAGCAGAACUUCAAUUUUAUUCUUUGAAUGGCACAAGGAGGGAGGAAGAAGGACAAGGAAGGAGGAUGAGGAAGGAAGAAGAAGAAGGAAGGGAGAGGAAAGAAAAAGAAGAAGGAGGAAGGAGGAGGAAAGAAGAAGGAAGAGGAAGAAGAAGGAAGAAGAAGAAGAAAGAAGAAGAUGAUUAUGAUGUAAAGGGAACUUCUGUAUUAGGUCAAAGAUCCAUCUAAGCAAGGCUCCUGUCUCCAGCAUCUGGAAGCAGAUGAGCAGAGCAGAAUGGAAGAGCACCGCUAGUGUUGGCAUCCAUAUCUAAGCGAUCUGAAGCUCUGGGACUUACUAAAGAUCUCAACUAACAUGGUGAUGAUGGAAAAUUUCAAACUUCUGACUGAGAAAUAUUAACUUAGCCUUCUCCACUAAGAAUUUUUGAGUUUAGCAAGGGUUUGAAACUCAGAUGAAGGGAAAAUGGUGAAAAUAUAAGGGAAUACAAUUAGUACUUUAGGCUUGCAAUUUGUUUGUUUGUUUGUUUGUUUCUUAUGAGAUAGCUAAAUGGACUGGAAUUCACAUAAAAUAAAAAUGCCUGUGUGGCUGUACAUCUUAAAACAAUGUAGAUUUUAAGACUGUAUUAUGAAAACUUUGCUGAAUAGUACAUUUACGAUUUAAUUAUCUUGGAAAUUGUUGUGAAUAUCAAAAGUUUACAUUCGCUAAUGACUUUCAUAAGCCAGUAACUUUCAUCAGUCAUGAUCAUUAAACCAAGUGUCAAAGUUUCUCUGAGUUGCUCUGCGGUGCAACUGAUAACAUUUUCAUUCCAGAUUAUAGGGUCCCAAGAGUGUCACCUGUCUGUGAUGACUAUUAAUGUCUGUUUCAGCAGUGUAAGGAAACAACCAUUCAUUAUCAGAGUACACCUGCAUGCUAUUGUCUACAAAUGAGAACAUCUGAACAAAAAGCUCUCUUUAAAACCUCCUCUCCCUAUGAGAGAAUAAUUCCACCUCCAAUUUUAGCAGUCAAAUCUCAUUAGCCUUGCAGUGGGAAAAGGAGUAAAGUAGAGAUGCCAAUUCCUGAUCUUCAAGGCUGAAAUGUUUCCUAAAUGGCAAAACAUUGGCAACAGUAGGCACAACCAUAAGAGUAACAACUGCCUUUCAAACAGGGGAAAAGUGUUUGGAACAAAUAUAUUGCCUAUCUCUAAUCUAACUGACUAUAAAUCUUCAAAAUU
Molecule: long non-coding RNA, 1376 nt
Organism: Gallus gallus (chicken)
Lineage: Eukaryota; Metazoa; Chordata; Aves; Galliformes; Phasianidae
Source: Ensembl